AUUGAACGCUGGCGGCACGCCUUACACAUGCAAGUCGAACGGCAGCAUGGAGAGCUUGCUCUCUGAUGGCGAGUGGCGAACAGGUGAGUAAAGCAUCGGAACGUACCGUGUAGUGGGGGAUAACGUAGCGAAAGUUACGCUAAUACCGCAUACGCACUGAGGUGGAAAGCAGGGGAUCGUAAGACCUUGCGCUAUACGAGCGGCCGAUGUCAGAUUAGCUAGUUGGUAGGGUAAAGGCCUACCAAGGCGACGAUCUGUAGCGGGUCUGAGAGGAUGAUCCGCCACACUGGGACGGAGACACGGCCCAGACUCCUACGGGAGGCAGCAGUGGGGAAUGUUGGACAAUGGGGGCAACCCUGAUCCAGCCAUGCCGCGUGAGUGAAGAAGGCCUUCGGGUUGUAAAGCUCUUUCGGCCGGGAAGAAAUCGCACAGGCUAAUACCCUGUGUGGAUGACGGUACCGGCAUAAGAAGCACCGGCUAACUACGUGCCAGCCGCCGCAGUAA
RNAcentral lists this ribosomal RNA (504 nucleotides) under uncultured bacterium. Its description in RNAcentral is "partial 16S ribosomal RNA". It matches the Rfam family "Bacterial small subunit ribosomal RNA", at positions 29 to 523 of the family's 1533-position model. The record is from RNAcentral.